Molecule: ribosomal RNA, 439 nt
Filed under: uncultured bacterium
Lineage: Bacteria
Description: partial 16S ribosomal RNA
Rfam family: Bacterial small subunit ribosomal RNA
Source: RNAcentral
CCUACGGGAGGCAGCAGUGGGGAAUAUUGCACAAUGGGCGGAAGCCUGAUGCAGCAACGCCGCGUGAGGGAUGAAGGCCUUCGGGUCGUAAAGCUCUGUCCUCAAGGAAGAUAAUGACGGUACUUGAGGAGGAAGCCCCGGCUAACUACGUACCAGCAGCCGCGGUAAUACGUAGGGGGCUAGCGUUAUCCGGAAUUACUGGGCGUAAAGGGUGCGUAGGUGGUUUCUUAAGUCAGAGGUGAAAGGCUAGGGCUCAACCGUAGGAAGCCUUUGAAACUGGGAAACUUGAGUGCAGGAGAGGAGAGCGGAAUUCGUAGUGUAGCGGUGAAAUGCGUAGAUAUUAGGAGGAACACCAGUUGCGAAGGCGGCUUUCUGGACUGUAACUGACACUGAGGCACGAAAGCGUGGGGAGCAAACAGGAUUAGAUACCCGUGUAGUC